RNAcentral lists this long non-coding RNA (1422 nucleotides) under Oryzias javanicus (javanese ricefish). RNAcentral describes it as "lncRNA (ENSOJAG00000000452.1)". The record is from RNAcentral. Lineage: Eukaryota; Metazoa; Chordata; Actinopteri; Beloniformes; Adrianichthyidae.
GGGAAAAAUACACCUUCUCGAGUUGGCAGGAGGCACACAUCCGGGAGGAAAUGAUGCAAUUAUCUUAGCUGAGGUCACUUGCGCAUGUAUAUAUAGAUAUAUUUAUACCUAUAUAUACACAUGUACACUGGGAUAUCGUGCAGCAUUGCUCUUCCACUGCUUUAACAGUUUGGAUUCUAGUUUGGUGGUGUGCAACAUCAGGAGAUUCCAUCAAGAGAAGCUGUGAUACUUAAAGAGAACAAGAAUGAAGACUGUCAUUGUAACAUUUUGCCUGAUUGGAUCAGUUUUUGCAAACCCGAUUUUACACAACGUGUUGGUUUCAAAUGAGCAGGAUUCCAAUUCAACGGAAAGUCUGUCUGUUUCACAAUCUUCUGAAAACACUUCAGAGCUUCAGAGCUCUGAGGAAGUUGCCUCAACAAACAGUACAGAGUCUGAAUCAUCGGAGUCUGCUUCAGAGGACAAGACCUCAGAGGAGAGUGACAGCCAGUCAGAUGAGGUAAUUGAGAUUGACCCGAUGCUUGAAACUGAAGAUAACAGCAUGGGCAGCGAAGAGAACGUCCGCAAAGUGGUGAGUUGGUGCACACACUUUGCCCCUUUAGCCACUCUGGCGUAUUUAUUCAAACACGAAUGAAUAGAAGAACUGGAGGGAAAAAAAUACAUCCGGCAUUACGUGAUGAGUCCAUAACAUUAAGGCUUGUGGACUAGGCCUCUAGUGGUGAAACAGAGAACUAAAAUAUCUUAAAAAAAUAAUAAUCUGAGUACACUUAUGCAUUAGUCUAAACACUUCCCCUGCUGCAUAAACGCAUAGACGGCAUUGACAGCAGCAGCAGUGACAGUACAGAUCUUGCAGCUGCUUCCAGCAACAGCACUGAGAGCAACAGUAGCGAAAGCCAGGAGAGCGAAGAGACCAGUGACAGCAGUGAUGCUAGCAGGAGUUCAAAGGAAAGUGACGAAAGCGACAGCACAGAGUCUGAGCAGGUCAAACCCAAAGACUGCGUGAAUGGUACACAGAGCUGUGAAAGUGAAGAGUACUUCCUCCAGAGUGUAGGAGAUGAUGCCCAUUUCUCUGUUCACGGUCUGAUGAUGCCAGACGAGGAAAACAGAGAGUUAAGUCUGAGGAGAUGAUUGUUUAUAUGGCUUUAUAAUUUUUCUUUGUGAACUUUUUUUAUUUUCUAAACCUCACCACUAAGUGGGAGCAGCUAUUUUUAAUCAUAUCUAAACAACAGUAUAUUUUGCCUCAUGCAACAUUGAGUAAUUCUUUAGUGACAUGAUUUCUAUUGUAAAAUAAAUAAAAUAUUUUCUUUGUUGUAUUAAAAACUGUUUGGUAAAUAUAUAACAAAGCUGGCAUGUUAUUAAUAAUUGCUUUUUUUUUUUUUAAAAACAUGAAUGCAACUUUGCACAAACCCAAUAAAGAACUGUAGC